RNAcentral lists this ribosomal RNA (449 nucleotides) under uncultured bacterium. RNAcentral's name for it is "partial 16S ribosomal RNA". It matches the Rfam family "Bacterial small subunit ribosomal RNA", at positions 29 to 523 of the family's 1533-position model. The record is from RNAcentral.
AGCGAACGCUGGCGGCAGGCUUAACACAUGCAAGUCGAACGGGCACUUCGGUGUCAGUGGCAGACGGGUGAGUAACACGUGGGAACGUACCUUUUGGUUCGGAACAACACAGGGAAACUUGUGCUAAUACCGGAUAAGCCCUUACGGGGAAAGAUUUAUCGCCGAAAGAUCGGCCCGCGUCUGAUUAGCUAGUUGGUGAGGUAACGGCUCACCAAGGCGACGAUCAGUAGCUGGUCUGAGAGGAUGAUCAGCCACAUUGGGACUGAGACACGGCCCAAACUCCUACGGGAGGCAGCAGUGGGGAAUAUUGGACAAUGGGGGCAACCCUGAUCCAGCCAUGCCGCGUGAGUGAUGAAGGCCCUAGGGUUGUAAAGCUCUUUUGUGCGGGAAGAUAAUGACGGUACCGCAAGAAUAAGCCCCGGCUAACUUCGUGCCAGCCGCCGCCGUAA